CAAAGUGGGUGGUAAACUCCAUCCAGGCUAAAUACUGGCACGAGUCCGAUAGUAAACAAGAAACUCCAUCCAAGGCUAAAUACUGGCACGAGUCCGAUAGUAGACAAGUACCGUGAGGGAAAGUUGAAAAGUACUCUGAAGAGAGAGUAAAUAGUACGUGGAAUUUCGCAAAAGGCAUACGGUGGAGUCAAGCUUCAUGCUUGGAGAAUUCUCGCUCGGGGCCUUGCUGUGUUUUGGGCAUAGCCCAUCACCGAAGUCUAUUCACUCUUGUUUGUGGACAGGACAAUGUGGUGUUUAGGUGUGUACCUGGGAGCGCUUGCCUACUCGAAGUGAACAGGACAAUGUGGUGUUCGGGCAUGCAUGCUUGGAAGAUUGUCUUUCGAUCCUAUCCUGUGUCAGGUACUGGCACGAGUCCGAUAGGGUGGAGUCAAGCUUCAUGUUCAGAGGAUUUGUAGAGAAGCUGGUGG
Molecule: ribosomal RNA, 467 nt
Filed under: Mastacembelocleidus sp. 1 AA-2014
Lineage: Eukaryota; Metazoa; Platyhelminthes; Monogenea; Dactylogyridea; Ancyrocephalidae
Description: eukaryotic LSU rRNA
Rfam family: Eukaryotic large subunit ribosomal RNA
Source: RNAcentral